RNAcentral lists this ribosomal RNA (293 nucleotides) under uncultured bacterium. RNAcentral describes it as "partial 16S ribosomal RNA". It matches the Rfam family "Bacterial small subunit ribosomal RNA", at positions 505 to 796 of the family's 1533-position model. The record is from RNAcentral.
GUGCCAGCCGCCGCGGUAAUACGGGGGGAGCAAGCGUUGUUCGGAUUUACUGGGCGUAAAGGGCGCGUAGGCGGCCUCUGCAAGUCGACUGUGAAAUCUCCGGGCUUAACCCGGAAAGGUCAGCCGAUACUGCAGGGCUAGAGUGCAGAAGGGGCAACUGGAAUUCUCGGUGUAGCGGUGAAAUGCGUAGAUAUCGAGAGGAACACCUGCGGCGAAGGCGGGUUGCUGGGCUGACACUGACGCUGAAGCGCGAAAGCUAGGGGAGCGAACGGGAUUAGAAACCCGUGUAGUCC